AGUGAACGCUGGCGGUAGGCCUAACACAUGCAAGUCGAACGGCAGCACAGUAAGAGCUUGCUCUUACGGGUGGCGAGUGGCGGACGGGUGAGGAAUACAUCGGAAUCUACUUUUUCGUGGGGGAUAACGUAGGGAAACUUACGCUAAUACCGCAUACGACCUACGGGUGAAAGCAGGGGAUCUUCGGACCUUGCGCGAUUGAAUGAGCCGAUGUCGGAUUAGCUAGUUGGCGGGGUAAAGGCCCACCAAGGCGACGAUCCGUAGCUGGUCUGAGAGGAUGAUCAGCCACACUGGAACUGAGACACGGUCCAGACUCCUACGGGAGGCAGCAGUGGGGAAUAUUGGACAAUGGGCGGAAGCCUGAUCCAGCCAUACCGCGUGGGUGAAGAAGGCCUUCGGGUUGUAAAGACCUUUUGUUGGGAAAGAAAAGCAGCAGGUUAAUACCCCGCUGUUCUGACGGUACCCAAAGAAUAAGCACCGGCUAACUUCGUG
RNAcentral lists this ribosomal RNA (492 nucleotides) under uncultured bacterium. Its description in RNAcentral is "partial 16S ribosomal RNA". It matches the Rfam family "Bacterial small subunit ribosomal RNA", at positions 29 to 507 of the family's 1533-position model. The record is from RNAcentral.